CACGUAGGCACCAAGCGUUGUCCGGAUUUAUUGGGCGUAAAGAGCUCGUAGGCGGUUGAGUAAGUCGGGUGUGAAAACUCUGGGCUUAACCCAGAGCCGCCACCCGAUACUGCUCUGACUUGAGUUCGGUAGGGGAGCAGGGAAUUCCUAGUGUAGCGGUGAAAUGCGCAGACAUUAGGAGGAACACCGGUGGCGAAGGCGCUGCUCUGGGCCGAUACUGACGCUGAGGAGCGAAAGCGUGGGUAGCAAACAGG
RNAcentral lists this ribosomal RNA (254 nucleotides) under uncultured bacterium. RNAcentral's name for it is "partial 16S ribosomal RNA". It matches the Rfam family "Bacterial small subunit ribosomal RNA", at positions 524 to 776 of the family's 1533-position model. The record is from RNAcentral.